CGGCGGCUACACAUGCAAGUCGAGCGGAUGAAGGGAGCUUGCUCCUGGAGUUAGCGGCGGACGGGUGAGUAAAGCCUAGGAAUCUGCCUGGUAGUGGGGGACAACGACUCGAAAGGGUCGCUAAUACCGCAUACGUCCUACGGGAGAAAGUGGGGGAUCUUCGGACCUCACGCUAUCAGAUGAGCCUAGGUCGGAUUAGCUUGUAGGUGAGGUAAUGGCUCACCUAGGCAACGAUCCGUAACUGGUCUGAGAGGAUGAUCAGUCACACUGGAACUGAGACACGGUCCAGACUCCUACGGGAGGCAGCAGUGGGGAAUAUUGGACAAUGGGCGAAAGCCUGAUCCAGCCAUGCCGCGUGUGUGAAGAAGGUCUUCGGAUUGUAAAGCACUUUAAGUUGGGAGGAAGGGUUGUAGUUUAAUACGCUGCAACUUUGACGUUACCAACAGAAUAAGCACCGGCUAACUCUGUGCCAGCAGCCGCGGUAAUACAGAGGGUGCAAGCGUUAAUCGGAAUUACUGGGCGUAAAGCGCGCGUAGGCGGCUUGAUAAGAUGGGUGUGAAAUCCCCGGGCUUAACCUGGGAACUGCAUCCAUAACUGUCUGGCUAGAGUACAGUAGAGGGUGGUGGAAUUUCCUGUGUAGCGGUGAAAUGCGUAGAUAUAGGAAGG
This 666-nucleotide ribosomal RNA is filed under the name bacterium. Its description in RNAcentral is "bacterial SSU rRNA". It matches the Rfam family "Bacterial small subunit ribosomal RNA", at positions 40 to 704 of the family's 1533-position model. The record is from RNAcentral.